RNAcentral lists this ribosomal RNA (1343 nucleotides) under uncultured bacterium. RNAcentral describes it as "16S ribosomal RNA". It matches the Rfam family "Bacterial small subunit ribosomal RNA", at positions 28 to 1378 of the family's 1533-position model. The record is from RNAcentral.
GACGAACGCUGUUUGCGUGCUUAACACAUGCAAGUCGAACGGAAAGGCCCUGCUUUUGUGGGGUGCUCGAGUGGCGAACGGGUGAGUAACACGUGAGUAACCUGCCCUUGACUUUGGGAUAACUUCAGGAAACUGGGGCUAAUACCGGAUAGGAGCUCCUGCUGCAUGGUGGGGGUUGGAAAGUUUCGGCGGUUGGGGAUGGACUCGCGGCUUAUCAGCUUGUUGGUGGGGUAGUGGCUUACCAAGGCUUUGACGGGUAGCCGGCUUGAGAGGGUGACCGGCCACAUUGGGACUGAGAUACGGCCCAGACUCCUACGGGAGGCAGCAGUGGGGAAUAUUGCACAAUGGGCGGAAGCCUGAUGCAGCAACGCCGCGUGCGGGAUGACGGCCUUCGGGUUGUAAACCGCUUUCGCCUGUGACGAAGCGUGAGUGACGGUAAUGGGUAAAGAAGCACCGGCUAACUACGUGCCAGCAGCCGCGGUGAUACGUAGGGUGCGAGCGUUGUCCGGAUUUAUUGGGCGUAAAGGGCUCGUAGGUGGUUGAUCGCGUCGGAAGUGUAAUCUUGGGGCUUAACCCUGAGCGUGCUUUCGAUACGGGUUGACUUGAGGAAGGUAGGGGAGAAUGGAAUUCCUGGUGGAGCGGUGGAAUGCGCAGAUAUCAGGAGGAACACCAGUGGCGAAGGCGGUUCUCUGGGCCUUUCCUGACGCUGAGGAGCGAAAGCGUGGGGAGCGAACAGGCUUAGAUACCCUGGUAGUCCACGCUGUAAACGGUGGGUACUAGGUGUGGGGUCCAUUCCACGGGUUCCGUGCCGUAGCUAACGCUUUAAGUACCCCGCCUGGGGAGUACGGCCGCAAGGCUAAAACUCAAAGGAAUUGACGGGGCCCCGCACAAGCGGCGGAGCAUGCGGAUUAAUUCGAUGCAACGCGUAGAACCUUACCUGGGUUUGACAUGGAUCGGGAGUGCUCAGAGAUGGGUGUGCCUCUUUUGGGGUCGGUUCACAGGUGGUGCAUGGCUGUCGUCAGCUCGUGUCGUGAGAUGUUGGGUUAAGUCCCGCAACGAGCGCAACCCUUGUUCACUGUUGCCAGCACGUUAUGGUGGGGACUCAGUGGAGACCGCCGGGGUCAACUCGGAGGAAGGUGGGGAUGACGUCAAGUCAUCAUGCCCCUUAUGUCCAGGGCUUCACGCAUGCUACAAUGGCUGGUACAGAGAGUGGCGAGCCUGUGAGGGUGAGCGAAUCUCGGAAAGCCGGUCUCAGUUCGGAUUGGGGUCUGCAACUCGACCUCAUGAAGUCGGAGUCGCUAGUAAUCGCAGAUCAGCAACGCUGCGGUGAAUACGUUCCCGGG